AUGCUCCUCCGCCGCACCGCCGCCGCAGCAGCGCAGCGCUCCUCCUGGUUAUCCCCCUGGCGAACCAUCCUCCCGCACGUCGGCCCCGCCCGCCCUUAUAGCGCUACCACCUCCACCUCCUCUCCACACCGGCAACGGCGCAGCCGCUGCCGCACACCGCAGUUUACGGACGGUUCGCUUACUACCACCUCUGCGCUCCGACCGUUCCCGGACUACUCUCCUCCCCGCCCCGACUCGCCGGCCGACGAUGCCCUCGCGCGCCGUCUCGCCGCCGCGCUCCUCGCUUCGCCCAGCCCAGGCUCCCUCCCUCCUCUCCCCUUCAUUCCCCUCCUCCGCCCGCUGCACCUGCUCCUCGCACUCCCCCUGCUCGCCUCCCACCCCAACCUCACCAGCCUCCUGGUCCCGCUCCUCCUGCUCUUCCCCUCCCGACCUCACCCCCAUCCCCAACUCAUCCAAUGCUUCGCCAUUGCCGCCCAUCUCGCCGUGCGGGAACCCGGAACUGCGCGUGCUAUCCUUGUACGAGCUCUUCGUUUCCCAUCUCCUCAUCGGCAUUUCGUCGAGCAGUUCAUCUUCACAUACAAGGCCUUCUCGUCGGACCCCGCCUCCUUCGACCUCCUCCUCCCGUGCCUCCCCUCCGCCCAGCUGCUCCGCCGGCUCCGCCAGUACGGCCUAUCCCCAUCCCCAGAAUCCUGUAAUGCUGUGCUCUCCCGCCUUCCCCUUGAUGAAGCAAUUGCCUUGUUCCGAGAACUCCCCGACAAGAACGUCUGCUCCCACAAUAUACUCCUCAAGGCGCUCCUCAGUGCAGGCCGGCUCAAGGAUGCACGCCAACAUUUUGAUGAAAUGUCGUCACCGCCAGAUGUUGUGACGUACGGCACUAUGGUCCAUGGCUACUGCGAUCGUGGUGAGCUGGAGAAUGCGGUGAAGCUGUUGGAUGAAAUGGCAGCAAAGGGGCUGGAGUCAAAUGCGACAGUGUAUACAAGUGUGAUUGCAUUGCUGUGCAAUAAAGGGCAGGUUUCAGAUGCUUUGAGGGUGGUAGAGGACAUGACGAUGCAUGGGGUGGUGUUGGAUGCAGUGGUGUUUACAACUGUAAUGAGUGGAUUUUGUAGCAAGGGUGAUUUGGCAGCUGCAAGAAGGUUGUUCGAAGAGAUGCAGAAGAGAGGGUUGGCCGCUGAUGGGGUGACAUAUACCGCGCUUAUCAAUGGUCUUUGUCGGGCUGGGGAGUUGAAAGAGGCAGACAGAGUACUUCAGGAGAUGGUGGACAAGGGAUUGGAUGUUGAUGUGGUCACAUAUACAGCACUCAUUGAUGGGUACUGCAAAAGAGGGAACAUGGUGGAAGCCUUCCGAGUUCACAAUGAAAUGGUGCGGAGAAGAGUGGCACCAAAUGUGGUGACAUACACGGCUCUGUCUGAUGGACUGUGCAAGCAGGGGGAUUUGCGUGCUGCUAAUGAGCUAUUGCAUGAGAUGUGCAACAAGGGGUUAGAGCUGAAUGUUUACACAUACAACUCCCUGAUCAAUGGCCUGUGCAAGUUUGGCAAUCUGGAGCAGGCCAUGAGGAUCAUGACAGAGAUGGAAGCAGCCGGACUUAGACCAGAUGUUUAUACAUAUACAACUCUUAUAGAUACGCUCUGCAAGUCAGGAGAGUUUGACAGGGCUCACAGCAUGUUACAGGAAAUGUUAGAUAAAGGAAUUAAGCCUAGUAUUGCGACUUACAAUGUUCUAAUGAAUGGUUUUUGCAUGUCAGGUAGGGUAGAAGGAGGAAAAAAGCUGCUCGAGUGGAUGCUGGAGAAGAACGUCCGCCCAAAUGUUGUAACUUAUAAUUCUCUUAUGAAGCAGUGCUGCAUUGACAAGAACAUGAAAUCUACCACUGAGAUUUACAAGGGGAUGCAUUCUCAGGAGGUGGCUCCAAAUGAGAACACAUACAAUAUAUUGAUCAAGGGGCACUGUAAGGCAAGAAAUAUGAAAGAGGCACUGUAUUUCCAUCAUGAAAUGAUAGAGAAGGGAUUUAGACUCACAACAAGCUCUUAUAGUGCUCUUAUAAGAUUGCUGAAUAAAAAGAAGAAAUUUUCUGAGGCAAGAGGGUUAUUUGACGAGAUGCGAAAGGAGGGUUUGACAGCUGAACCAGAUGUUUACAGUUUUUAUAUUGACAUCAGUUUUAAUGAGGAUAAUUUGGAGUCGACCAUUACACUUUGUGAUGAACUGGUGGAAGCCAGUCAUGUAAAAUCUAAAGCUGGCACAAACUAA
This 2241-nucleotide ribosomal RNA is filed under the name Triticum aestivum (bread wheat). Its description in RNAcentral is "partial small subunit ribosomal RNA". Lineage: Eukaryota; Viridiplantae; Streptophyta; Magnoliopsida; Poales; Poaceae. The record is from RNAcentral.